RNAcentral lists this ribosomal RNA (200 nucleotides) under uncultured bacterium. Its description in RNAcentral is "partial 16S ribosomal RNA". It matches the Rfam family "Bacterial small subunit ribosomal RNA", at positions 8 to 211 of the family's 1533-position model. The record is from RNAcentral.
AGAGUUUGAUCCUGGCUCAGAUUGAACGCUGGCGGCGUGCCUAACACAUGCAAGUCGAGCGGUAACGCGGGAGCAAUCCUGGCGACGAGCGGCGAACGGGUGAGUAAUGCUUCGGAAUCUGCCCAGUAGUGGGGAAUAACCAACCGAAAGGUUGGCUAAUGCCGCAUACGACCUACGGGUGAAAGCAGGGGAUCGUAAGA